This 1366-nucleotide long non-coding RNA is filed under the name Carica papaya (papaya). Its description in RNAcentral is "long non-coding RNA (CPAP_LNC000093)". The record is from RNAcentral. Lineage: Eukaryota; Viridiplantae; Streptophyta; Magnoliopsida; Brassicales; Caricaceae.
UAAUUAAUCCACCCCCGCAACAUAAAAGUCAACAUCUAUUAGGUAGAACUUACUUGAAAACAUUAUGUAAAGUUAUAAAUUUUUUUUUUUGAAAUCUAUAUACUACAUUUUGAAAUUCAAACUUUUUAAUCACUUUCUGGAAUAAUUAGAGGAUCAUCAGCUCUCGUUAAUGCAUGUUUCAUUACGCUUGAAUCUGAUGAGAUCCCCUCCCACCCAGCAAGGACAUAUGUGAAAGUCAAGUCGAAUGCACCAGCUACCAAAAUAUUUUGUGGGAAAAUCUUUUCUCCCACGGAAUCUUGGAGCAUCAACUUUGGGCACUUCGACACGUAUAUGCAUUCCGUCGAUCAUACCAACACAAUUCUAAAAUUAAUUGAUCAUUUAUUAAAUAAAAUUAUACGUAUUUACAAAAAUUUAAUCGAGCAGUUUUAAUAUAUUUACCUUAAAAAAUGAAAAAAACUUAGAAUUGUUGGUUAUUUCUGAUGGCACUCACAAUCCAUCAAGCUGAUUAAGAAAUUUAUCAGCCAGUUUUAUUAUAAAUCAUAUGACAUUUUGAAAAUGACGACUUAUCGUCUUUCCUGAUUGUUGAAAAUGCUAAGACAUGACUCGAUUUCUCUGAUUAUGUCCUAAUAAGUAAAGUGUUUUGAGUAUUUGUUCUUCUACAGUUACACGAAUAGUAGGCCUAAGUCCACCUUUUGUAACUAGCAGAUGACAUAAUUUCGUAAAUGAUGGAACUAUCAUCCUAAUAAUGUGCCGACAUAACUCACUUGAUACCAAGCUUUCCAUAAGCUUGGCUUGAACUUUCUCACCUUCAAACCUUAAUUAAUGUACAUGACUAAGUUUUCUCAUUUUAUAAAUAUAAAUUCCUACAAGUAUCACUAAAACUCCCACUAACAUUGCUAUGUGUUCCAUAUGAUCCAUCUGAAAAUGAAUGCGAAAUAUCAAAUGUGUAUCUACUGAUGAGGUAAUUAACUAUACGGUAGUGUUUUAACAUGAGGAAAGUAUUCAAAUUCAAAUAGUCACUUGCAUGAGAAAUAAAAGAAAAAAUAAAGAUAAAGAAAAAUGAUUCUAACUGCAAUGAAUCAAAAAAUAGUCGAGCUAAAUUCUAACAGAACAAAGAAGCAGAACAUGAGCCACAAUUCUCACAUAUACAAGUGUUCCUUGAAUAUGAUGUGUGUUCUGCUAAAACAACCGUUCCUUUUGCAACAAAACUAUAUAUUAAAGAAAAGGUAAGAUAAAACGAAAAUUUUUCCGUUAAACAACCAAUUAAAAUAUCAAUUUAAAUGCAAUUCCUCAUUUACUUUAACUCCUUAACUCUCUAUUUCCCUAACAAUUCAACUGUUAAUCUAUUAUUAAAAUAAUUAUGGUU